This 470-nucleotide ribosomal RNA is filed under the name uncultured bacterium. Its description in RNAcentral is "bacterial SSU rRNA". It matches the Rfam family "Bacterial small subunit ribosomal RNA", at positions 29 to 506 of the family's 1533-position model. The record is from RNAcentral.
AUGAACGUUGGCGGCGUGUAUAAGGCAUGCAAGUCGAGGGAUCGGCCUUUUUUUCUUCGGAAUUUGAGGUACGGACCGGCAAACGGGUGAGUAACACAUUGGUAACCUACCUCCAAGACAGGAAUAGCCCACCGAAAGGUGGAUUAAUACCUGAUGGUAAUACGGGAACGUAAGUUUCUGUAUUUAAAGAUUUAUCGCUUGGAGAGGGGCCUAUGUCCUAUCAGCUAGUUGGUAAGGUAAAAGCUUACCAAGGCUAUGACGGGUAGCAGGCGUGAGAGCGUGACCUGCCUCACUGGGACUGAGACACUGCCCAGACUCCUACGGGAGGCUGCAGUCGAGAAUAUUCCACAAUGGACGAAAGUCUGAUGGAGCGACGCCGCGUGCAGGAUGACGCCCUUCGGGGUGUAAACUGCUUUUAUAGGGGAAGAAUUUGUGACGGUACCCUACGAAUAAGAGGUUGCUAACUCUGU